AAGGUCAUGUAUUUGGGGAAUGAAGAAACUCUGGGCCAUGGGGCAGCCAUGAAGAAAGCAGAGCUUGCUAACUGCCCUUCGGUGUCUCCAAACCUCAGUAAGUACUUGCUGGAUUUGUUCUGUUUAAGUACUACAAAAAAGUAUUUAGCUGAUGUGGAGAAAAGUGUGGAAAGCAGAAUAAUACUUAAUUAAGUUUUGCAGAACGACUAUACCUUGGAGUCAGCAUGUCAGUUUAAA
RNAcentral lists this long non-coding RNA (237 nucleotides) under Rattus norvegicus (Norway rat). Its description in RNAcentral is "long non-coding RNA NONRATT006605". Lineage: Eukaryota; Metazoa; Chordata; Mammalia; Rodentia; Muridae. The record is from RNAcentral.